AAGUGUUACAGCUCUUUUAGAAUUUGUCUAGCAGGUUUUCCAAUUUUCUCUAGAAAACUCCU
RNAcentral lists this small nuclear RNA (62 nucleotides) under Propithecus coquereli (Coquerel's sifaka). RNAcentral's name for it is "U7 small nuclear RNA (ENSPCOG00000008169.1)". It matches the Rfam family "U7 small nuclear RNA". From Rfam's summary of the family: Animal histone pre-mRNAs are spliced by a different mechanism than nuclear pre-mRNAs and self-splicing introns. This processing involves the U7 snRNP, which contains only one RNA species: U7. The 5' end of U7 RNA is thought to base-pair to a conserved spacer element downstream of the cleavage site in histone pre-mRNA. The record is from Rfam by way of RNAcentral. Lineage: Eukaryota; Metazoa; Chordata; Mammalia; Primates; Indriidae.